This 449-nucleotide ribosomal RNA is filed under the name uncultured bacterium. RNAcentral describes it as "bacterial SSU rRNA". It matches the Rfam family "Bacterial small subunit ribosomal RNA", at positions 331 to 794 of the family's 1533-position model. The record is from RNAcentral.
CCAGACUCCUACGGGAGGCAGCAGUGGGGAAUAUUGCACAAUGGGGGAAACCCUGAUGCAGCGACGCCGCGUGAGUGAAGAAGUAUUUCGGUAUGUAAAGCUCUGUCAGCAGGGAAGAAAGAAAUGACGGUACCUGACCAAGAAGCCCCGGCUAACUACGUGCCAGCAGCCGCGGUAAUACGUAGGGGGCAAGCGUUAUCCGGAAUUACUGGGUGUAAAGGGAGCGUAGACGGUGAUGCAAGUCUGGAGUGAAAGGCGGGGGCCCAACCCCCGGACUGCUCUGGAAACUGUAAAGCUGGAGUGCAGGAGAGGUAAGCGGAAUUCCUAGUGUAGCGGUGAAAUGCGUAGAUAUUAGGAGGAACACCAGUGGCGAAGGCGGCUUACUGGACUGCAACUGACGUUGAGGCUCGAAAGCGUGGGGAGCAAACAGGAUUAGAUACCCUCGUAAU